This 253-nucleotide ribosomal RNA is filed under the name uncultured bacterium. Its description in RNAcentral is "partial 16S ribosomal RNA". It matches the Rfam family "Bacterial small subunit ribosomal RNA", at positions 524 to 776 of the family's 1533-position model. The record is from RNAcentral.
UACGGAGGGUGCAAACGUUGUUCGGAAUUACUGGGCGUAAAGGGCGCGUAGGCGGCCUUCUAAGUCGAACGUGAAAUCCCCGGGCUCAACCCGGGAACUGCGUCCGAUACUGGGAGGCUUGAAUCCGGGAGAGGGAUGUGGAAUUCCAGGUGUAGCGGUGAAAUGCGUAGAGAUCGUGAGGAAGACCAGUGGCGAAGGCGGGUCUCUGGACAGUUCCUGACACUGAGGCACGAAGGCCAGGGGAGCAAACGGG